RNAcentral lists this ribosomal RNA (436 nucleotides) under Seasogonia sandaracata. RNAcentral describes it as "partial large subunit ribosomal RNA". Lineage: Eukaryota; Metazoa; Arthropoda; Insecta; Hemiptera; Cicadellidae. The record is from RNAcentral.
UUCUGCCCUAUGAUAGUUUAAAUGGCUGCAGUAUUUUGACUGUGCAAAGGUAGCAUAAUAAUUAGUUAAUUAAUUGUUAACUGGAAUGAAAGAAUAAAUGAGAAAUUUAUUUUAUUUAUUUUAUUUUUAGAAUUUUAUUUUUUAGUAAAAAAGCUUAAAUUAUUUUUUGGGACGAUAAGACCCUAUAGAACUUUAAUAAAAUAUUUUAUAUUUAUUUUUAGUAAUUAAUUUUUAAUUAAUUUUAUUUUUUUUUAGUUGGGGUGAUUAAUAAGUUAAACUUUAUUUUUUUAAAUCAUUGUUUUAUGAUUUUUUUGAUCCCUUAUUGGAUUAAGAGAUUAAGUUACCUUAGGGAUAACAGCGUAAUUUCAGUGGGGAGUUCAUAUUUAUAUUGAAGUUUGCGACCUCGAUGUUGAAUUAAGAUUAUUAAGUGGGGUAG